This is an RNA transcript of Cucumis melo (muskmelon), 4655 nucleotides long. It is a transcript of the gene named helicase-like transcription factor CHR28, with no coding region annotated. The transcript is spliced from 11 exons. The record is from RefSeq and is a predicted model, not a curated record. Lineage: Eukaryota; Viridiplantae; Streptophyta; Magnoliopsida; Cucurbitales; Cucurbitaceae.
UCGCACAAAUUCACAAACCCUAUUUAAAAUUACGGAAUCCGUGGUCUUCACGAUUCGAUCCCCGACUUUGUCUUCUCCUUCUCCUCCUCCGCUUCUUCUUCGUCUUCUCUCUCUUCGCGGAAUUGGGGACGAAAACUCCCACCGGAACUUUCUCUGAAUUUUACUUUUAUUCUUCUAGUAAAUGAAUCCUUCUGUUUCUUUAGUUCCUGGUGAUUUCGGAUGAAGACUUAAUCAAUCCUCUCUUCUCUCAAUCGCCGGUGAGGUUUUAGGAUUUCAAACGUUUCUCAUCGGUUUUUGCUUCCAACGCUUUCUCUUCGCCGGUGUUUUUCUUUAACGAUCAUGUUGAUGGCGGGUGAAGCUUCUAAUUUUCCUCUCCAGUAUGCUGACGAUGAUUUUGAUGAAGAUAUGUCCAUGGAGUACGAAAAGCUUUUACAUCUACUGAGUGAGGAUCUGGAUCCUUUGCAGAUUAAAACAGAGGACUUGUCACCAAAUAAUGCAUCGACUGGCCAACCAGCUUUUGAUUCUUCCAACCAAGAAAAUUUCCAACUUCAAAACGAUAUAUCUCAUGGUUUCAUGGAUGUAACAUUGAAAAAUCAUGACAGUUUGGACGGAAAGGGCACAGAGACCUUGAGAUCCUCAGAAAAUAAUUCAUGUGCGUCAGUAGAGUUGCCUUCAUUUGAUGCAGAACAUUCUUCAAAAGAAGUGUUUCCUACUGAGUCCACAGUAAACGCAAGUUUUGAUUUUGCGACUGAUGUUACCGAUUCUUAUUCAACUAUGCCAUACUGGAUGAGUACCGUGGAGCAACCGUUUUUAGUUUCUUCUCAGUACCUUUUUCCAGGAGAUUAUGAUUCUCCGCUUGUUUCUGGAAAUGGGGACAUGACAGUCAACAGGAUGCAUGAAGUAGAGUUUCCAUCCAAUAGCCUGUGCUCAAGUACUACAAUGGAUUUGUAUGCACAGGGGGCUACUGAUCACAAAUCACUAUCAAGAGAAUCAGUCUCAAAGGAUUUAAUUCUUGAUGGGUAUUCAAAUGUAAAGGGAUGGGAUCAGAAUCGUAAAAGUGGAAACUUUAUUUCAUCAUUUGAUGGAAAAUAUCCAUUUCAUGCCAACAAUCUUCAUAUUGGCCGGACAUCCAUGGGGUUUCCAAUGUCUACUGAGCUGAAUUCAUCUUGCAAAGAGCUUGUUAGUCAAAUUAAGAAUGAAACGAUGGAUUCACUGGUUGAAUCUUGUAGUGGUCCAUGGCAAUCUAUGAUGGAGGAGAACUUGUUUUUUCCAUCACAAAGAGUUUUUCGUUCUGAAGAUAUGGUUUGUGGAACGUCUGGCAGACCCUCCAGUGAUGGCAGGUAUCAGAAUUUAUAUAUAACUGACCAAUACUCUCCCAAUGGUCAUUCAUCUAAUUUAAGCAAUCAGCCUUUGGUUUUCAUUAAGGAUGAUAGAGAUCACAAAUUGUCUGUGCGUAAGAGUGAUAUAGAUCAUCCACAAGUCAGCCCUGAAUCAACUCACAGUAAUUUGUCAGACAGGGCCCAUGUGGAGGAUGAUCCAGAUAUCUGUAUAAUUGAAGAUAUGAGUCAUCCUGCACCAUCAAACCGAUCUCUUGUGGUUGGAAAAUCUGUUGCUUCACAAAGUUUUUCUAUAGUCAGUGGCUCUUCCACUUAUACGGGGAUUGGAAGUCUGAGAAAUAAGGCAAAAGACAUAGACAUCUUAAAAGUUGCAUUACAGGAUCUUUCUCAGCCAAAGUCAGAAACUAGUCCACCUGAUGGUGCUUUGGACGUUCCUCUUUUAAGGCAUCAGAGAAUUGCUUUGUCAUGGAUGGUUCAGAAGGAGACAUCUAGUGUACCUUGCGCAGGGGGGAUUCUUGCAGAUGAUCAGGGACUGGGGAAAACAAUAUCGACAAUUGCUUUAAUACUAAAGGAAAGGGCUCCUAUUAGAGCUUGCCCUACUGUUAAAAAUGAAGAGUUGGAGACUUUAAAUUUGGAUGAAGAUGACGAUAUACAUCCUGAGCAUGAUGGACCCAAACAAGAAUUUUCUCAUCAAGUUUCACCAAGCAAAGAUUUAACUUUAAGCAAGAACACUUCGGUACAAGCUAAAGGCAGGCCAGCAGCCGGAACUCUUGUUGUUUGCCCAACAAGUGUGUUGAGGCAAUGGGCUGAUGAAUUACAUAAUAAGGUUUCCAGUAAAGCUAAUUUGUCAGUGCUUGUAUACCAUGGAAGUAGUCGAACUAAGGACCCCUGCGAGCUGGCCAAAUAUGAUGUUGUUUUAACAACGUACUCAAUUGUGAGCAUGGAGGUACCAAAGCAGUCUGUUGUUGAUGAAGAAGAUGAUGAGAAACAGAAUGCAGAGGAACAGGCUAUUCUACCCUCGCAUUUGUCUUCAAGCAAGAAAAGGAAAAACUUAUCUGGUUCUGAUAAGAAACAUUCAAAGAACAAGAAGGGAGUGGACAAUGAAGUUUUUGAAUCAGUUGCCCGCCCUCUUGCUAAAGUGAGGUGGUUCCGGGUUGUAUUGGAUGAGGCCCAGAGUAUCAAGAAUCACAAGACACAGGUAGCCAGGGCCUGUUGUGGUCUGCGGGCAAAACGGAGGUGGUGCUUGUCAGGAACUCCUAUUCAGAAUGCAAUUGAUGAUCUUUAUAGCUAUUUUAGGUUUCUUAAAUAUGACCCCUAUGCUGCAUAUAAGUCGUUCUGUUCAGCAAUUAAGUUUCCAAUCAACAAGAAUCCAACCAAAGGAUACAAAAAACUUCAAGCCAUUUUGAGGACGAUAAUGUUACGUCGCACAAAAGCCACACUUCUUGAUGGGCAACCCAUUGUUACAUUGCCGCCUAAACACGUGGAACUGAAAAAGGUGGAUUUUACUGAGGAAGAACGUGAUUUCUACUCUAAAUUGGAGGCUGAUUCAAGGGCCCAGUACGAAGAAUAUGCCGCAGCUGGAACUGUUAAACAAAAUUAUGUGAACAUCUUACUGAUGCUUUUGCGCCUUCGACAAGCCUGUGAUCAUCCUCUUCUUGUUAAGCCUUAUGACUCUAAAACUUUAUGGAGAUCUUCAGCUGAUGUGGCCAAGAAGCUUCCUCGGGAUAAACAAAUUUUCUUAUUGAAUUGUUUGGAAGCAUCACUGGCUAUUUGUGGCAUCUGUAAUGAUCCACCUGAAGAUGGGGUCGUCUCAGAAUGUGGUCAUGUUUUCUGCAAGCAAUGCAUUUUGGAACACCUCUCUAGUGAUGACUGCCAGUGCCCUAUUGCAGGGUGCAAAGUUCAUCUUAAUGCAUCUUCAUUGUUUUCCAAGUCCUCGUUAUGCACUUCUCACUCUGAUCAGCUUGGUGAGGAUAAUUCUGGGGUUAGCUCUUGUUCCACCGUUGGUGACUCAGUGGAACUCUCUUCAUCAGUUAUGUAUGAAUCUUCUAAAAUUAAAGCUGCUCUUGAGGUUCUGAUGUCAUUGGCUAAACCAAAGGAAUGCUAUUUAAGAAAAACCCCUCCCCAACUUGCUGUUGUUGGAGCCAGUGAGAAAUCAAUGGAUGCUUCAUCCACAGAACUGCGUCUGGAAAGUUCGGAGUGCCAAGAUUCUACAAACAAAAGCUCUUGCGAAUUGGUUAAAAGAGGUGGAGAAAAAGCUAUAGUCUUUUCUCAAUGGACGGGAAUGUUAGAUUUGCUCGAAGCAUGUCUAAAGAACUCCUCCAUUCAGUACAGAAGACUUGAUGGUACCAUGUCAGUACUUGCUAGAGAUAAAGCCGUAAAGGAUUUUAACAAUCUUCCGGAGGUGUCAGUUAUGAUCAUGUCUUUGAAAGCUGCUAGCCUUGGUCUAAACAUGAUUGUUGCCUGCCACGUUCUUCUAUUGGACCUCUGGUGGAAUCCUACAACUGAAGAUCAAGCAAUUGAUAGAGCACAUCGAAUUGGGCAAACUCGUCCUGUGACAGUGUUGAGAUUAACUGUAAGAGACACAGUUGAGGAUCGUAUUUUAGCCCUUCAGGUACCGAUCAUAUGUUUCAUUUCCAAUUUUGAUUCGAGAAGCUCUUGUUUUUUUCUAUAAAUCAGUAUGCUGAGCAAAAUCCAGUUUUUGCCUCAUCAAAGGUUGGGACCUAGGAAAGAUGAGCAGUUUAGCUAGCAAAAGAAAAGAGAGAUGGUUUCAUCUGCCUUUGGAGAAGAUGAAGCAGGUGGUCGACAAACUCGUCUCACAGUUGAAGACCUGAACUACCUUUUUAUGAUGUGAUGAUAGUAGAUAUAACUACAAUUAUUCUUUGGAAUUGGCUGAUUUAGUCUAACAUCAUAUGCACAUAUCAUAUCGAAGUUUUAGGAGGUGAAGGCUGGCUGCAUUGGUUCUAAUUUUAGAAAGCAAGUUGUCCCAACCAUAUUUAGGUUAGAUGGCCAACCUUAUGUCACUUUGACCAGCAGAUUUGACGACACAGCUCCUUUUACCAGAAGAUUUGUGAAUAGCAACUAUAGAAAAUCUUUGAAUCCAUUUUUGCCCACUCAUUCUUUUCCUCACUCACAAUUUGAUGAUCCCUUUGUGACUUCAGUUUUACAUCCCAUUCCCUUAGUAUAUUCCACAGGUUGUAAAGAUCAGAAAUUUAUAGAAAGGAUAGAAGUUUCAAUCUGUUAAAAGACUCUUUUCUUUUCCAAGUGUAAAAAUAUAGAUAGUAUUAUUUGCUUAUCCCAGCUCUAUGGUGUUUGUUUUUC